GACGAACGCUGGCGGCGUGCUUAACACAUGCAAGUCGAACGGAAAGGCCCUGCUUUUGUGGGGUGCUCGAGUGGCGAAAGGGUGAGUAACACGUGAGUAACCUGCCCUUGAAUUUGGGAUAACUUCAGGAAACUGGGGCUAAUACCGGAUAGGAGCUCCUGCUGCAUGGUGGGGGUUGGAAAGUUUCGGCGGUUGGGGAUGGACUCGCGGCUUAUCAGCUUGUUGGUGGGGUAGUGGCUUACCAAGGCUUUGACGGGUAGCCGGCCUGAGAGGGUAACCGGCCACAUUGGGACUGAGAGACGGCCCAGACUCCUACGGGAGGCAGCAGUGGGGAAUAUUGCACAAUGGGCGGAAGCCUGAUGCAGCAACGCCGCGUGCGGGAUGACGGCCUUCGGGUUGUAAACCGCUUUCGCCUGUGACGAAGCGUGAGUGACGGUAAUGGGUAAAGAAGCACCGGCUAACUACGUG
Molecule: ribosomal RNA, 468 nt
Filed under: uncultured bacterium
Lineage: Bacteria
Description: partial 16S ribosomal RNA
Rfam family: Bacterial small subunit ribosomal RNA
Source: RNAcentral